This 279-nucleotide long non-coding RNA is filed under the name Glycine max (soybean). RNAcentral describes it as "long non-coding RNA (GMAX_LNC001866)". Lineage: Eukaryota; Viridiplantae; Streptophyta; Magnoliopsida; Fabales; Fabaceae. The record is from RNAcentral.
AUAGAAAAUAUGUAUAAGAGUAUGUAUAAUUUUAGUACAGAAAGAAAAAGAUGUAUGAACGAAAGUUAGCCGAACAUUGAUAUUUAUUUUCCCUUUUAUUUCUAUGUCAAUUUCCAAUAAUUGCUCAAAAAUAUGAUCAAACUUUGCUAUCAUUUCGGAUAGGCUUUCUUUCUAUCACAUUAAUAAGAGGAUGUUGACUUUUUUGAGCUUGGUUGAUCCUAGAAGUUUACUUUGGCUGCCAGUAGUAGAUUUCCUAGUUCUUGGCAAAUAAGAUUCAAC